Molecule: ribosomal RNA, 515 nt
Filed under: uncultured bacterium
Lineage: Bacteria
Description: partial 16S ribosomal RNA
Rfam family: Bacterial small subunit ribosomal RNA
Source: RNAcentral
GAUGAACGCUGGCGGCGUGCCUAAUACAUGCAAGUCGAGCGAAUGGAUUGAGAGCUUGCUCUUAUGAAGUUAGCGGCGGACGGGUGAGUAACACGUGGGUAACCUGCCCAUAAGACUGGGAUAACUCCGGGAAACCGGGGCUAAUACCGGAUAACAUUUUGAACAGCAUGGUUCGAAAUUGAAAGGCGGCUUCGGCUGUCACUUAUGGAUGGACCCGCGUCGCAUUAGCUAGUUGGUGAGGUAGCGGCUCACCAAGGCAACGAUGCGUAGCCGACCUGAGAGGGUGAUCGGCCACACUGGGACUGAGACACGGCCCAGACUCCUACGGGAGGCAGCAGUAGGGAAUCUUCCGCAAUGGACGAAAGUCUGACGGAGCAACGCCGCGUGAGUGAUGAAGGCUUUCGGGUCGUAAAACUCUGUUGUUAGGGAAGAACAAGUGCUAGUUGAAUAAGCUGGCACCUUGACGGUACCUAACCAGAAAGCCACGGCUAACUACGUGCCAGCCGCCGCCGUAA